RNAcentral lists this ribosomal RNA (337 nucleotides) under uncultured Planctomycetota bacterium. RNAcentral's name for it is "bacterial SSU rRNA". It matches the Rfam family "Bacterial small subunit ribosomal RNA", at positions 29 to 351 of the family's 1533-position model. The record is from RNAcentral. Lineage: Bacteria; Pseudomonadati; Planctomycetota.
AACUAACGCUGGCGGCGUGGCUUAGGCAUGCAAGUCGAACGGCAAAGGUCGCAAGACCGAGUAAGUGGCGAAAGGGUGAGUAGUACUCGGGCAAUCUGCCCCUGGGACUGGGAUAGCCUCGGGAAACUGAGGGUAAUACCAGACGGGCUCACGAGAGCUGAGGCUUUCGCGAGUAAACGGAGGGGAUCCGCAAGGACCUUCCGCCCAGUGAGGAGCUCGAGCCCUAUCAGGUAGUUGGCGGGGUAACGGCCCACCAAGCCUACGACGGGUAUCCGGACUGAGAGGUUGGCCGGACACACUGGCACUGAGACACUGGCCAGACUCCUACGGGAGGCAG